Molecule: long non-coding RNA, 1029 nt
Filed under: Oryzias javanicus (javanese ricefish)
Lineage: Eukaryota; Metazoa; Chordata; Actinopteri; Beloniformes; Adrianichthyidae
Description: lncRNA (ENSOJAG00000011162.1)
Source: RNAcentral
ACUAACUAACCACCCCCCCCCAAAAAAAAAGGGGGUGGGGGGGUUAUACCUAACAAUAUAAAAAACUUAAUUGAAUGAAUGUUUUGCCCUACAUUAUUAUUCUAAUUUUUUUUUAUUUUUUAGUUUUGCUAGAGAUUUUGUAAAGAAAAUAUAUUUUGUGUGUGUGCUCUGAUCUGACCAUUCUGGAGCCGAGUCGCACCACCUGUAUUGAGCUGCUGAAGGAGAAGCCUCUGGAAUGUAAACAUGUUAUUCUGCUCUGCUUAGCCGCUUCACAUAGAAAACACUUGUGCGAAUGUAGAUGUUUUCUAUUCCUCUGGAAAACACCUCUUGGGUCCCAGGGAAGACUUUUUUCUCCCACAGGGUGACGUUUUCUAUUUCCUCUGGGAAACACCUCUCGAUUCCCAGGGGAGGACUUUUUUAUUUCAAUGUAUAAAAGACGGGACGUUGCUGGAAUCGUAGAAGUCAGCUGGAUGGUUAUGUACGACACCAGCCAAGUCGAAGCUGUCCUUACCGGGGUUAUGUCGACUUCCCAUCUCCCAUAUCAGUGGUACCCGAGGGUGUGGGAGUUGGUCUCCGAACGGACGCUCAGGGGACCUUCCAAGAGCCACUAUGGAAAACCACAACAACCGGUCCACUGGCAGUGUCGCUGUCCUGAGACCGAGGAUCAUCGACCUCUCCUUCUCAGUGGAGAGCAUUCCGGCCCUUCAGCUUCAAAGGGCCUCUAUCUGAAGUGAAGUGCCUAUCACGUCACAGGAGGGCGUGGUAUGAUCUGAUGGGCCUCUCCAACUCUUCCGAUGGAAAGGUAACAAGAAAUAUACUGUCGAACACAGGAAAAAGGAUCUCUCAUGGAUUACAACAAGUAGGUGUGUGGAUGCCGUCAGUAGCAGAAAGAGACUGCUGAUCUGCUCGUCCAUACGCUUUCAUGGCACAUGGAGAUGUGGAACCUCACCAGUGAGAUUUUGACGACUAUUACUGGUACCUUGAACUUGACUGAUUGUAACGUACGAAUGUUAGACAUGAAUCUACAAC